Molecule: transfer RNA, 67 nt
Filed under: Marmota monax (woodchuck)
Lineage: Eukaryota; Metazoa; Chordata; Mammalia; Rodentia; Sciuridae
Description: tRNA.Ala
Source: RNAcentral
GGUUAUGGCUCAUCGGUAGAGCGCUCGCCUCGCAGGUGCAAGACCCUGGGUUCGAUCCUCAGCACCA